GAUGAACGCUGGCGGCGUGCCUAAUACAUGCCAGUCGAGCGAACAGACGAGGAGCUUGCUCCUCUGACGUUAGCGGCGGACGGGUGAGUAACACGUGUAUCACCUACCUAUAAUACUGGGAUCACUUCGGGACACCGGCGCUAAUCCCGUAUAAUCUCUUGAACCGCAUUGUUCAAUAGUGAAAGACGGUUUUGCUGUCACUUAUCGAUGGAUCCGCGCCGUAUUAGCUAGUUGGUAAGGUCACGGCUUACCAAGGCAACGAUGCGUAGCCGACCUGAGAGGGGGAUCGGCCACACUGGAACGGAGACACGGUCCAGACUACUAAGGGAGGCAGCAGUAGGGAAUCGUACGCAAUGGGCGAAAGCCUGACGGAGCAACGCCGAGUGAGUGAUGAAGGUCUUCGGAUCGUAAAACUCUGUUAUGAGGGAAGAACAAAUGUGUAAGGAAAUAUGCACGGAUUGACGGUAACUAAUAAGAAAGCAACGGCUAACUACGUG
This 497-nucleotide ribosomal RNA is filed under the name uncultured bacterium. RNAcentral describes it as "partial 16S ribosomal RNA". It matches the Rfam family "Bacterial small subunit ribosomal RNA", at positions 28 to 507 of the family's 1533-position model. The record is from RNAcentral.